UGUACUGUAGCUCAGUCUGGAUAGAGCACUAGAUUAGUAAUCUAGCUGGCGAAGGUUCGAAUCCUUCCAGUAACACCA
RNAcentral lists this transfer RNA (78 nucleotides) under Litorimonas cladophorae. RNAcentral describes it as "tRNA-Thr". It matches the Rfam family "tRNA". Rfam says of the family: Transfer RNA (tRNA) molecules are approximately 80 nucleotides in length. Lineage: Bacteria; Pseudomonadati; Pseudomonadota; Alphaproteobacteria; Maricaulales; Robiginitomaculaceae. The record is from RNAcentral.